UUCCAUACCAAAUAAUAUAGGCAGUUGCAACAUCCAUGAAGAGUUGUUAAUUGGACCACAAGGCAUCUGCAGUGUCAAAUCUACAGAGACAAGUGCACCUGGAGACAAAUGACCAGACUACCAUAAAACAGAAGCUUAAUUAUGUUCACUUACAUUUUCAAAUUAUUCCCAACAAAUUACCCUGUUUUUCCAGGUAGAAGAAGCAGAGUGGAGAGAGGACAUUCCAAAUAAAAUGAAUGCUGAUCCUGCAUUGAGUGCAAGCAAAAAACUGUCAAGUUUUCCCUGGAUCUUUGGGCUUUCAUUUCUGAAGUCUCCUGUGUCACGUAAAACUUUGUUAAAUAAAUUUGUUAUGCUUUU
This 357-nucleotide long non-coding RNA is filed under the name Pan troglodytes (chimpanzee). RNAcentral describes it as "lincRNA". Lineage: Eukaryota; Metazoa; Chordata; Mammalia; Primates; Hominidae. The record is from RNAcentral.